RNAcentral lists this ribosomal RNA (420 nucleotides) under uncultured Nitrososphaerota archaeon. Its description in RNAcentral is "bacterial SSU rRNA". It matches the Rfam family "Archaeal small subunit ribosomal RNA", at positions 459 to 879 of the family's 1478-position model. The record is from RNAcentral. Lineage: Archaea; Thermoproteati; Nitrososphaerota.
CAGCCGCCGCGGUAACACCAGCCCCUCGAGUGGUGGGGAUGAUUAUUGGGCCUAAAGCGUCCGUAGCCUGCCGUAAAAGUUCCCCGUUAAAUCCAGCGUCUCAAGCGUUGGACCGCGGGAAAUACUGCACGGCUAGAGAGUGGGAGAGGUCAGCGGUAUUCUGGGGGUAGGGGCGAAAUCCUUUGAUCCCCGGAGGACCACCAGUGGCGAAGGCUGCUGACUAGAACACGUCUGACGGUCAGGGACGAAAGCUGGGGUAGCGAACCGGAUUAGAUACCCGGGUAGUCCCAGCCGUAAACGAUGCAUGCUAGGUGUUGGGUUGGCCACGAGCCACCCCAGUGCCGCAGGGAAGCCGUUAAGCAUGCCGCCUGGGAAGUACGAUCGCAAGGUUGAAACUUAAAGGAAUUGGCGGGGGAGCAC